AUUGGAGGGCAAGUCUGGUGCCAGCAGCCGCGGUAAUUCCAGCUCCAAUAGCGUAUAUUAAAGUUGUUGCAGUUAAAAAGCUCGUAGUUGGAUUUCUGUUAAUAAUUUAUAUAUAAUAUUUAACAUAUUUAUAUAAUAUUAACAUAAUUCAUAUUACUAUUUUGAUAGUAUAUGAAACUUUACUUUGAGAAAAUUAGAGUGCUUAAAGCAGGCUUUAGCCUUGAAUACUAGAGCAUGGAAUAAUAUUAAAGAUUUUUAUCUUUCUUAUUGGUUCUAAGAUAGAAAUAAUGAUUAAUAGGGACAGUUGGGGGCAUUUGUAUUUAACAGUUAGAGGUGAAAUUCUUAGAUUUGUUAAAGACAAACUAAUGCGAAAGCAUUUGCCAAGGAUGUUUUCAUUAAUCAAGAACGAAAGUUAGGGGAUCGAAGACGAUCAGAUACCGUCGUAGUCUUAACCAUAAACUAUGCCAACUAGAGAUUGGAGGUUGUUCCUUACUCCUUCAGCACCUUA
Molecule: ribosomal RNA, 508 nt
Filed under: Cryptosporidium canis
Lineage: Eukaryota; Apicomplexa; Conoidasida; Eucoccidiorida; Cryptosporidiidae
Description: SSU rRNA
Rfam family: Eukaryotic small subunit ribosomal RNA
Source: RNAcentral